Molecule: ribosomal RNA, 433 nt
Filed under: uncultured bacterium
Lineage: Bacteria
Description: partial 16S ribosomal RNA
Rfam family: Bacterial small subunit ribosomal RNA
Source: RNAcentral
AACGAACGCUGGCGGCAGGCUUAACACAUGCAAGUCGAACGCACCUUUCGGGGUGAGUGGCAGACGGGUGAGUAACGCGUGGGAAUCUACCCUUCUCUACGGGAUAGCUCCGGGAAACUGGAAUUAAUACCGUAUACGUCCUGAGGGGGAAAGAUUUAUCGGGGAAGGAUGAGCCCGCGUUGGAUUAGCUAGUUGGUGGGGUAAAGGCCUACCAAGGCGACGAUCCAUAGCUGGUCUAAGAGGAUGAUCAGCCACAUUGGGACUGAGACACGGCCCAAACUCCUACGGGAGGCAGCAGUGGGGAAUAUUGGACAAUGGGCGCAAGCCUGAUCCAGCCAUGCCGCGUGAGUGAUGAAGGCCCUAGGGUUGUAAAGCUCUUUCAGGGGGGACGAUAAUGACGGUACCCACAGAAGAAGCCCCGGCUAACUUCGUG